AUGCUUACUAUGAAUUUUGUAUUGGGGGACAGAUAUUCCUUUUGUAAGGGCCCGUGUCCCAAUCUUUGUGUACCAGUGGCUGUAUUAACUAAAGGAUCUGGUAAAGGGGGAGGAAUCCUAGAAAAACCAGUUAUUGAGAAAGCCACCCCAGGCCGUGAAUCUGAAUUUGAUUUAAAGAAGUCACGGAAAACAGCGCCGCCUUAUCGGUUAACAUCAUGCAAGAAGCUCACCACAAUGGAAUGUGGUGGUUGCUGA
Vicia faba (fava bean) is the source of this 255-nucleotide non-coding RNA. The record is from the annotation of a GenBank genome assembly. Lineage: Eukaryota; Viridiplantae; Streptophyta; Magnoliopsida; Fabales; Fabaceae.